GAUGAACGCUGGCGGCGUGCCUAAUACAUGCAAGUCGAGCGAACAGAUGAGGAGCUUGCUCCUCUGACGUUAGCGGCGGACGGGUGAGUAACACGUGGAUAACCUACCUAUAAGACUGGGAUAACUUCGGGAAACCGGAGCUAAUACCGGAUAAUAUAUUGAACCGCAUGGUUCAAUAGUGAAAGACGGUUUUGCUGUCACUUAUAGAUGGAUCCGCGCCGCAUUAGCUAGUUGGUAAGGUAACGGCUUACCAAGGCAACGAUGCGUAGCCGACCUGAGAGGGUGAUCGGCCACACUGGAACUGAGACACGGUCCAGACUCCUACGGGAGGCAGCAGUAGGGAAUCUUGCGCAAUGGGCGAAAGCCUGACGGAGCAACGACGCGUGAGUGAUGAAGGUCUUCGGAUCGUAAAACUCUGUUAUUAGGGAAGAACAAAUGUGUAAGUAACUAUGCACGUCUUGACGGUACCUAAUCAGAAAGCCACGGCUAACUACGUG
RNAcentral lists this ribosomal RNA (497 nucleotides) under uncultured bacterium. RNAcentral describes it as "partial 16S ribosomal RNA". It matches the Rfam family "Bacterial small subunit ribosomal RNA", at positions 28 to 507 of the family's 1533-position model. The record is from RNAcentral.